GGGAGCCGGAUGAAUCGCGAGGUUCACGUCCGGUUCUGAGAGAGCGCGGGGCUGCAAUGCCCCGCACCACUCACC
This 75-nucleotide non-coding RNA is filed under the name Bradyrhizobium vignae. Lineage: Bacteria; Pseudomonadati; Pseudomonadota; Alphaproteobacteria; Hyphomicrobiales; Nitrobacteraceae. The record is from RNAcentral.